GACGAACGCUGGCGGCGUGCUUAACACAUGCAAGUCGAACGGAAAGGCCCUGCUUUUGUGGGGUGCUCGAGUGGCGAACGGGUGAGUAACACGUGAGUAACCUGCCCUUGACUUUGGGAUAACUUCAGGAAACUGGGGCUAAUACCGGAUAGGAGCUCCUGCUGCAUGGUGGGGGUUGGAAAGUUUCGGCGGUUGGGGAUGGACUCGCGGCUUAUCAGCUUGUUGGUGGGGUAGUGGCUUACCAAGGCUUUGACGGGUAGCCGGCCUGAGAGGGUGACCGGCAACAUUGGGACUGAGAUACGGCCCAGACUCCUACGGGAGGCAGCAGUGGGGAAUAUUGCACAAUGGGCGGAAGCCUGAUGCAGCAACGCCGCGUGCGGGAUGACGGCCUUCGGGUUGUAAGCCGCUUUCGCCUGUGACGAAGCGUGAGUGACGGUAAUGGGUAAAGAAGCACCGGCUAACUACGUG
This 468-nucleotide ribosomal RNA is filed under the name uncultured bacterium. RNAcentral describes it as "partial 16S ribosomal RNA". It matches the Rfam family "Bacterial small subunit ribosomal RNA", at positions 28 to 507 of the family's 1533-position model. The record is from RNAcentral.